GCGACGGGGCGGCGUGCUUAACACAUGCAAGUCGAACGGUGAACACGGAGCUUGCUCUGUGGGAUCAGUGGCGAACGGGUGAGUAACACGUGAGCAACCUGCCCCUGACUCUGGGAUAAGCGCUGGAAACGGCGUCUAAUACUGGAUACGAGUAGCGACCGCAUGGUCAGUUACUGGAAAGAUUUAUUGGUUGGGGAUGGGCUCGCGGCCUAUCAGCUUGUUGGUGAGGUAAUGGCUCACCAAGGCGUCGACGGGUAGCCGGCCUGAGAGGGUGACCGGCCACACUGGGACUGAGACACGGCCCAGACUCCUACGGGAGGCAGCAGUGGGGAAUAUUGCACAAUGGGCGCAAGCCUGAUGCAGCAACGCCGCGUGAGGGAUGACGGCCUUCGGGUUGUAAACCUCUUUUAGCAGGGAAGAAGCGAAAGUGACGGUACCUGCAGAAAAAGCGCCGGCUAACUACGUGCCAGCAGCCGCGGUAAUACGUAGGGCGCAAGCGUUAUCCGGAAUUAUUGGGCGUAAAGAGCUCGUAGGCGGUUUGUCGCGUCUGCUGUGAAAUCCGGAGGCUCAACCUCCGGCCUGCAGUGGGUACGGGCAGACUAUAGUGCGGUAGGGGAGAUUGGAAUUCCUGGUGUAGCGGUGGAAUGCGCAGAUAUCAGGAGGAACACCGAUGGCGAAGGCAGAUCUCUGGGCCGUAACUGACGCUGAGGAGCGAAAGGGUGGGGAGCAAACAGGCUUAUAUACCCUGGUAGUCCACCCCGUAAACGUUGGGAACUAGUUGUGGGGUCCAUUCCACGGAUUCC
RNAcentral lists this ribosomal RNA (803 nucleotides) under Microbacterium sp. EA_S_34. Its description in RNAcentral is "bacterial SSU rRNA". It matches the Rfam family "Bacterial small subunit ribosomal RNA", at positions 30 to 842 of the family's 1533-position model. Lineage: Bacteria; Bacillati; Actinomycetota; Actinomycetes; Micrococcales; Microbacteriaceae. The record is from RNAcentral.